This 89-nucleotide transfer RNA is filed under the name Myxococcales bacterium. Its description in RNAcentral is "tRNA-Ser". The record is from RNAcentral. Lineage: Bacteria; Pseudomonadati; Myxococcota; Myxococcia; Myxococcales. RNAcentral also lists the same sequence under 1 other name.
GGAGAGGCGCGCCGACGGCUGGCGACGGCACCUGGCUUGAGUCCAGAUGGUCCGAAAGGGCCUUGGGAGUUCGAUCCUCCCCCUCUCCG